This 429-nucleotide ribosomal RNA is filed under the name uncultured bacterium. RNAcentral's name for it is "bacterial SSU rRNA". It matches the Rfam family "Bacterial small subunit ribosomal RNA", at positions 355 to 776 of the family's 1533-position model. The record is from RNAcentral.
UGGGGAAUAUUGGACAAUGGGCGCAAGCCUGAUCCAGCCAUGCCGCGUGGGUGAAGAAGGCCUUCGGGUUGUAAAGCCCUUUUGUUGGGAAAGAAAAGCAGUCGGUUGAUACCCGAUUGUUCUGACGGUACCCAAAGAAUAAGCACCGGCUAACUUCGUGCCAGCAGCCGCGGUAAUACGAAGGGUGCAAGCGUUACUCGGAAUUACUGGGCGUAAAGCGUGCGUAGGUGGUUUGUUAAGUCUGAUGUGAAAGCCCUGGGCUCAACCUGGGAAUUGCAUUGGAUACUGGCAGGCUAGAGUGCGGUAGAGGGUAGUGGAAUUCCCGGUGUAGCAGUGAAAUGCGCAGAGAUCGGGAGGAACAUCCGUGGCGAAGGCGACUACCUGGACCAGCACUGACACUGAGGCACGAAAGCGUGGGGAGCAAACAGG